GGACUACCAGGGUUUCUAAUCCCGUUUGCUCCCCUGGCUUUCGCGCCUCAGCGUCAGAAGGGGUCCAGCACGUCGCUUUCGCCACCGGCGUUCCUUCCGAUAUCUACGCAUUUCACCGCUCCACCGGAAGUUCCACAUGCCCCUACCCCCCUCGAGGCGAUCAGUAUCGAAGGCACGCUUCCCGUUAAGCGGAAAGAUUUCACCCCCGACUGGACCGCCCGCCUACGCGCCCUUUAAGCCCAGUGAAUCCGAACAACGUUCGCACGGUUCGUCUUACCGCGGCUGCUGGCAC
RNAcentral lists this ribosomal RNA (292 nucleotides) under uncultured bacterium. Its description in RNAcentral is "partial 16S ribosomal RNA". The record is from RNAcentral. RNAcentral also lists the same sequence under 1 other name.